RNAcentral lists this unclassified non-coding RNA (1061 nucleotides) under Octopus sinensis (East Asian common octopus). RNAcentral describes it as "androgen-dependent TFPI-regulating protein-like, transcript variant X6". The record is from RNAcentral. Lineage: Eukaryota; Metazoa; Mollusca; Cephalopoda; Octopoda; Octopodidae.
UAUAUAUUCAUAUAUGUUAUAUUAUUAUCAAAAGGACAAGAUCCUAAAGAUAAUAUAUAUAUUCAUAUAUAAGCACAUCCGCUUCUUUGCUGUUCGUUUCGAGUGCUCCCAUCGAUAGCAGUAGUGACAUUGAUUGAGACAGUAGUGUACUGAGAUGAGAGAGAGAGAGAGGAAACAAAAAGGCGACACCAUGGCAAUAAAACGUGAAAGGAAAGUCUCUCAACAUAAAGAGCAUACUAUGGCCUCACCCCUUUCUUCUUCUUCUCCUGCAAAAAUAUCGAAUCUAUCUUUGUAUAUUUGCUCUUUUCACCUGAUAUCAUUCAUUCUUUUAGCUUUUGGCACCUACACCGACACCUUCGAAAUUCAGUACGGUUGGAAUACAUAUUUUGGUAAAUUUAAAUACCUCACAUACUGGAAUAUAUGGAUACAAACGUUGUAUUUUGUCAUUUCUUUACUGUAUGACCUCAUGAAAUGGCGAAGCGUGAGUAAAUGCGAUCAAAACAAGGUAAGACAGCUGCAGAUUGUCAUAGAUCACGUUCAUGCUACUAUAGUUUUCCCAGUCGGAAUUUUUGUGGUGAUCACAUUUUGGUUAAUUUACCAUUUCGAUCGCGAGUUGGUGUUUCCUUCUUUCCUUGAUGAAAUCAUUCCAGGUUGGUUGAACCAUAUUUUGCACACUUUACCAUUGGUCCUUCUCUUUUUGGACAAGUACCUCGUCCCUCAUUGUUAUCCUCCCAAACUUCGUGGAAUUGGUUACACAUUCUGCUACACUAGCAUCUACGUGGUAUGGAUCCUUUUCCUGGCCUUCGCUAAAGGUAUAUGGGUUUACCCGAUCCUUCAAAUCUUAAAUAAUCAACAGAGGUUUGUCUUCAUAAUUCUUCUAUGGUUGUUUGGAAUCAGCAUUUACCUAGUCGGAGAUGGUUUUUCCUGUUUCAUGUGGAGGGCUUCACCCCAACCCACGAAGACCAGAAAAAAUAAAGUCAAAUAAAUUAACAAUUACAUAAAUUGAAUGACUGUUAACAUUCCACACACACACACACACACACACACACACACAUAUCUUA